GUUUUAAUAGUUUAAAAUAAAACUUUGGUCUUGUAAACCAACAAUGAACUUUACUUCUUAAAACU
RNAcentral lists this transfer RNA (65 nucleotides) under Gelasimus borealis. Its description in RNAcentral is "tRNA-Thr". It matches the Rfam family "tRNA". From Rfam's summary of the family: Transfer RNA (tRNA) molecules are approximately 80 nucleotides in length. Their secondary structure includes four short double-helical elements and three loops (D, anti-codon, and T loops). Further hydrogen bonds mediate the characteristic L-shaped molecular structure. tRNAs have two regions of fundamental functional importance: the anti-codon, which is responsible for specific mRNA codon recognition, and the 3' end, to which the tRNAs corresponding amino acid is attached (by aminoacyl-tRNA synthetases). tRNAs cope with the degeneracy of the genetic code in two manners: having more than one tRNA (with a specific anti-codon) for a particular amino acid; and 'wobble' base-pairing, i.e. permitting non-standard base-pairing at the 3rd anti-codon position. The record is from RNAcentral. Lineage: Eukaryota; Metazoa; Arthropoda; Malacostraca; Decapoda; Ocypodidae.